UUGAAUUGAUCUAAAUUUGAGGAUUAUAACCCAGGAAGAGCAUCUCAGAAAGCUCUGGGAACUGUUCCAUCCAUGAGAAGUCAACGCACAGUUAUAUUCGACGAAGACGUCCAGACGGCUCCGCUCCGCGCUGUGCUUUGAGAGCAGCCCCUGGUGAAGCUCCUCUCCAGCUCUUCGCCAGUGUUCAAUUCAACCCAAAGAACCAGGAACCGAGGAGGAAGGAAAUAAUUGACAUGCAAAGCCGCUAUUUUUAGACACCUUUACACUCUUCUUUUGCUUCUAACUAGCAAGGAUUUUUCCAAACAAGCUUUUAAUUAGCAGGUGAGUUUAAUUGAUAUGUGGGUUUCUCAGAAGGGGAAGGGACCUCAAUGUGGAGGAGGAGGGGGGAGGGCCUCCAUCACUCUCACACACAAUAGAAGACCAUUAAUUCAUUUGCACCUGGAUGUUUUAAAGGAUCAAUUUACUGUA
Vicugna pacos (alpaca) is the source of this 468-nucleotide non-coding RNA. The record is from RefSeq and is a predicted model, not a curated record. NCBI's taxonomy places the organism in Eukaryota, Metazoa, Chordata, Mammalia, Artiodactyla, Camelidae.